AGACAUGGACGCACUCUGAUGCAGCGACGCCGCGUGAGUGGAAGAAGGUCUUCGGGUUGUAAACCUCUGUCUUUGGGGACGAAGAUGGCGGUGGCCCCCACCGAGGAACCGGGCGCUUACUACAUGCCACCGCCCCCGGUAGUAAAGGCCACCGGCCUAUAGUAUAAAGGCACACGGCAA
RNAcentral lists this ribosomal RNA (180 nucleotides) under uncultured Clostridium sp. Its description in RNAcentral is "partial 16S ribosomal RNA". The record is from RNAcentral. Lineage: Bacteria; Bacillati; Bacillota; Clostridia; Eubacteriales; Clostridiaceae.